Molecule: long non-coding RNA, 387 nt
Filed under: Suricata suricatta (meerkat)
Lineage: Eukaryota; Metazoa; Chordata; Mammalia; Carnivora; Herpestidae
Description: lncRNA (ENSSSUG00005018184.1)
Source: RNAcentral
CCAAGAGGCCCCAAUCAAGACCCUGGGCAGUCAGCGCCCGGCUGCUCCUCUGCACAGCGGACGGUUCCCCAGCCCGCGCCCCCCAGUCUCCCUAAAAGCUGUGUGCGGUGUGCAGAUUCGAGCUCGAAUUCUCCGCGCUCUAUCACGCCCCUGUCCUAACUUGAAGGGCUACGAGAAGGGCAGGACGAGCGUCUAGACGGGCACGUCCCCUCAUGCAUGUGCGCGCCGCCGGGCACCAGCCCUUGGGCGAGUCCCAGCUUACUCCUCCUCCGGGGAAGGGGAAGCCUGGGCCACCGGGCUCCGCGACCAGCUAGCGACAGCUUUAGAUUUACAGAGAAGUCGAGCAGCUGCUACAGCGCUCCGGCGCCAGAAGCGUCCUGCCUUCGC